RNAcentral lists this non-coding RNA (844 nucleotides) under Mus musculus (house mouse). Lineage: Eukaryota; Metazoa; Chordata; Mammalia; Rodentia; Muridae. The record is from RNAcentral.
GGCUUGAGGACCGUAUUCAUGGAAGAGGAUUGAACAGACUACUGAGUUCUUAAGAGAAAAAUGGCACUUAAGAAAUUGAUGGUGAUAUCAAAGGAAGGUUACUUAUUACUCUUGGACUUUGAUGAUGAGGACGAUGACAUAAAAGUUUCAGAGGAGGCUCUUGCGGAAGUAAAGAGCCCAGGAUUUGAUAAAAAUGAGAAUAUAUCGCCUCAAGCAGAAGCAGAUGAAUAUAUGGGAGAUGAAGUAGACAGUAUGUUGGAUAAAUCUGGAGUAAAGAACCCAGCAAUUGGUAAAGAUGAGAAUAUAUCGCCUCAAGUAAAAGGAGAUGAAGACAUGGGAGAUGAAAUUGACAGUAUGUUGGCUACAUCUGGAGGUCUUUUCUCCUGAGAACACGGGACUCCAGCAUCUUCGGAUUCUGCUCUUGGAGGUGUGAGUCCCUGCCUCUCUGCACAGGGGAACUUAUGUCUCUCCACAUGUCCGCAAAUGUCUACCCAAGAUUAUACAUCUUCCAAAGGCUUUCAAAUACUUCUUUACAUAAACAAGGGGUUUGCCCCACAUCCUCUAUAUUGCAGAAAACAAGACUAGGCUCUACCUCUGUAGAUCAAGCACGACUGAAAUCCGUGCUCUCAAAAGAUGCUGGGGAGAAAGAGUGCCAUUCUUCACAAAUGCUGAUGUGUGCAGCUGAACAGAGCGUUGAGGAAACGUCAGUGAUUUUAUAACUACUUAUCAUGUUGGGAGAUUGUUGUGAUGAUUGCCUGGACUCUCAGAUGUUACACAGGCUGCAUCAUUGGACUGAAAGUGAAUGGCCCAUGUGUUGCCACUGAUGUGAGCCAUUUGCAAGCCG